AAGAUUAAGCCAUGCAUGUCUAAGUAUAAGCAAUUAUACAGCGAAACUGCGAAUGGCUCAUUAUAUAAGUUAUCGUUUAUUUGAUAGUGCCUGUCCUACUUGGAUAACCGUGGUAAUUCUAGAGCUAAUACAUGCUAAAAACCCCAACUUCGGAAGGGGUGUAUUUAUUAGAUUAAAAGCCAAUGCCCUUCGGGGCUCAAUGGUGAUUCAUAAUAACUUCACGGAUCGCAC
Molecule: ribosomal RNA, 231 nt
Filed under: uncultured fungus
Lineage: Eukaryota; Fungi
Description: partial 18S ribosomal RNA
Rfam family: Eukaryotic small subunit ribosomal RNA
Source: RNAcentral